UGAAUACGAGAUGCUACGGCGUCGAAGCAGUCUAUGUCAUACUUCCAAGAAAAGCUUGCACUGUCAUAAACAAAUAAUGCCUGUACCAUAACCGACACAGGUGGGUAGGUAGAGUAUACUAAGGGGCGCGAGAUAACUCUCUCUAAGGAACUCGGCAAAAUGACUCCGUAACUUCGGGAGAAGGAGUGCCUUAUUUAUAAGGUUGCAAUAACAAGAUCCAAGCAACUGUUUACCAAAAACACAGGUCUCCGCUAAGUCGUAAGACGAUGUAUGGGGGCUGACGCCUGCCCAGUGCCAGAAGGUUAAAGAAGUUGGUUAGCAUCCGCGAAGCUGAUAACUGAAGCCCUGGUGAACGGCGGGCGUAACAAUAACGGUCCUAAGGUAGCGAAAUUCCUUGUCGGGUAAGUUCCGACCCGCACGAAAGGCGUAAUGAUUUGGAUACUGUCUCGGAGAGGGGCUCGGUGAAAUAGACUUGUCUGUGAAGAUGCGGACUACCUGCACCAGGACAGAAAGACCCUAUGAAGCUUUACUGUAACCUGAAAUUGAAAUUGGACUUUACUUGCGCAGUAUAGGUGGGAGGCGUUGAGAAUAUUCUUGCGGGAUUAUUGGAGCCAUCAGUGAGAUACCACUCUUGUAAUGUUAGAUUUCUAACUUUGUAUCAUUAUCUGGUCAAAGAACAGUUUCAGGCGGGCAGUUUGACUGGGGCGGUCGCCUCCUAAACGGUAACGGAGGCGCACAAAGGUUUCCUCUGAACGGGUAGAAAUCGUAUCUAGAGUGUAAAGGCAUAAGGAAGCUUGACUGUGAGACCUACAAGUCGAGCAGGGACGAAAGUCGGUCUUAGUGAUCUGACGGUGCUGAGUGGAAAGGCCGUCACUCAACGGAUAAAAGUUACUCUAAGGAUAACAGGCUGAUCUCCCCCAAGAGUUCACAUCGACGGGGAGGUUUGGCACCUCGAUGUCGGCUCAUCGCAUCCUGGGGCGGUAGUACGUCCCAAGGGUUGGGCUGUUCGCCCAUGAAAGCGGUACGCGAGCUGGGUUCAGAACGUCGUGAGACAGUUCGGUCCAUAUCCGGUGUAGGCGUUAGAAUAUUGAGAGGAGCCUUCUUUAGUACGAGAGGACCGAGAAGGACAUACCUCUGGUGUACCAGUUAUCGUGCCAACGGUAAACGCUGGGUAGCUAUGUGUGGAGUGGAUAACCGCUGAAAGCAUCUAAGUGGGAAGCCCACCUCAAGAUAAGUA
Molecule: ribosomal RNA, 1237 nt
Filed under: metagenome
Description: bacterial LSU rRNA
Rfam family: Bacterial large subunit ribosomal RNA
Source: RNAcentral